Molecule: ribosomal RNA, 429 nt
Filed under: Troglomexicanus tamaulipasensis
Lineage: Eukaryota; Metazoa; Arthropoda; Malacostraca; Decapoda; Palaemonidae
Description: partial 16S ribosomal RNA
Rfam family: Bacterial large subunit ribosomal RNA
Source: RNAcentral
UGCGGUAAUUUGACCGUGCGAAGGUAGCAUAAUCAAUAGCCUCUUGAUUGGGGGCUUGAAUGAAUGGUCGGACGAGAGGAAUUCUGUCUCUUCAAUAUUGUGUGAAUUUAACUUUUAAGUGAAAAGGCUUAAAUUUGUUGGGGGGACGAUAAGACCCUAUAAAACUUUAUAUAAACUUGGUUGGUUGGUAAUUGUAGUGAAAUACGAGCUUUAUUUGGUUUAUAUUACGUUGGGGAGACGAUGAUAUAAUUUGUAACUGUUUGUUAAAUUUUAUAGUUGUAGCUAGUUUUUGAUCCUUUAGUAUUGAUUGGAAGAGAAGUUACUUUAGGGAUAACAGCGUAAUUUUCUUUGAGAGUUCUUAUCGACAAGAGAAGUUGCCACCUCCAUGUUGAAUUAAAAUUUCAACUAGGCGAAGCUGCUUANCUGGGG